CACGUUCAUGUCCUAUUUAGCCUCUGUGGACCACAAAUAUAAAACAUUCCCAUCAAAAACCUGUCUAAUGUACUACGCAUAGCUGUCUCAGAUAGGCAUCCAACUUUAAAAAAUUGGCUCUUUAAAAGCCAGAAUAAAGAUAAAAGAUAAAUUUCACAAAUUAGGGAAGCAUAGCGUUCUUCCUGAUGCGUAAUAUUACAAGUACCCAUAAAUAGAAGUGGCCACAGCUUUGCAUUCCCAUCCAUUCUAGUGCAGUCCCAAUGGAGAUGAGAUGGGGUCAUAUUUCUUAACUUGGGUUAUGUUACAUUAGUUUGCUGGUUGGCGCAAUCCAAGUUGCAGAUGCCAAAACAGAGAUUAAUUGUGCAUAAUCAACAGGCAAGCAGUUACUCCACAGGCCACCAGUGACAACUGACAACCCAUUCAAGCCUUGGGUGCUACACAUCAGCAACAAAAGAUAAUAAGGCUCAGGGAACCUUCAGAAUCCCCCAUCACUGGAAUUUUUUUUGUAGGAUUAAAUCAGGCCCAACCGUUUCCCCUUCCAUUGGAAUUCUGCCCUCUGGAAUC
Molecule: unclassified non-coding RNA, 564 nt
Filed under: Hevea brasiliensis (rubber tree)
Lineage: Eukaryota; Viridiplantae; Streptophyta; Magnoliopsida; Malpighiales; Euphorbiaceae
Source: RNAcentral